UACGAAGGGGGCUAGCGUUGCUCGGAAUCACUGGGCGUAAAGGGUGCGUAGGCGGGUCUUUAAGUCAGGGGUGAAAUCCUGGAGCUCAACUCCAGAACUGCCUUUGAUACUGAGGAUCUUGAGUACGGGAGAGGUGAGUGGAACUGCGAGUGUAGAGGUGAAAUUCGUAGAUAUUCGCAAGAACACCAGUGGCGAAGGCGGCUCACUGGCCCGUAACUGACGCUGAGGCACGAAAGCGUGGGUAGCGAACAGG
Molecule: ribosomal RNA, 253 nt
Filed under: uncultured bacterium
Lineage: Bacteria
Description: partial 16S ribosomal RNA
Rfam family: Bacterial small subunit ribosomal RNA
Source: RNAcentral